AAAGCAUUUGCCAAGAAUGUCUUCAUUAAUCAAGAACGAAAGUCAGAGGUUCGAAGGCGAUUAGAUACCGCCCUAGUUCUGACCGUAAACGAUGCCAUCUCGCGAUUCGGAGGGUUCAUGCCCUACCGAGGAGCUACCCGGAAACGAAAGUCUUUCGGUUCCGGGGGUAGUAUGGUUGCAAAGCUGAAACUUAAAGAAAUUGACGGAAGGGCACCACAAGGCGUGGAGCUUGCGGCUUAAUUUGACUCAACACGGGAAAACUCACCCGGUCCGGACACUAUUAGGACUGACAGAUUGAAAGCUCUUUCUCGAUUUGGUGGUUGGUGGUGCAUGGCCGUUCUUAGUUGGUGGAGUGAUUUGUCUGGUUUAUUCCGAUAACGAGCGAGACUCUAGCCUGCUAAAUAGUCGACGAAUCUUCGGGUUCGUAUAACUUCUUAGAGGGAUAAGCGGUGUUUAGCCGCACGAGAUUGAGCGAUAACAGGUCUGUGAUGCCCCUUAGAUGUCCGGGGCUGCACGCGUGCUACACUGGUGGAGUCAGCGGGUUUUUCCUAUGCCGAAAGGUAUCGGUAAACCGUUGAACUUCUUCCAUGUCCGGGAUAGGGUAUUGUAAUUAUUACCCUUAAACCGAGGAAUGCCUAGUAAGUGUGAGUCAUCAGCUCACGUUGAUUACGUCCCUGCCCUUUGUACACACCGCCCGUCCCUAUCCGGGGACUGAACUGAUUCGAGAAGAGUGGGGACUGUGGCUGCAGGUUUUACCACUUCGCAGUUGCGGAAACCAUUUUUAUCGCAUUGGUUUGAACCGGGUAAAAGUCGUAACAAGGUAGCUGUAGGUGAACCUGCAGCUGGAUCAUCG
This 853-nucleotide non-coding RNA is filed under the name Caenorhabditis japonica. RNAcentral's name for it is "Eukaryotic small subunit ribosomal RNA". It matches the Rfam family "Eukaryotic small subunit ribosomal RNA", at positions 948 to 1831 of the family's 1831-position model. Lineage: Eukaryota; Metazoa; Nematoda; Chromadorea; Rhabditida; Rhabditidae. The record is from Rfam by way of RNAcentral.